UGUUAAAAGUUUUAUCCAUUUCUAUUAUUAAAAACUGACGCUAACAAAAUAAUCAUAUAGUUACACAUGUCGUGCCAUGUGUACCUCAUUCUGACAUACAAUGACCAAUUCUUAAUAGUAGAAAUUAAUGAAACUUUUAAUA
Molecule: non-coding RNA, 142 nt
Organism: Gossypium arboreum
Lineage: Eukaryota; Viridiplantae; Streptophyta; Magnoliopsida; Malvales; Malvaceae
Source: Rfam